This 235-nucleotide unclassified non-coding RNA is filed under the name Hevea brasiliensis (rubber tree). The record is from RNAcentral. Lineage: Eukaryota; Viridiplantae; Streptophyta; Magnoliopsida; Malpighiales; Euphorbiaceae.
GAUUGUAACUAGGCAUGAAAUCAAAGGAAAGGUAGAGAAACUGCUCUCCGACACAGAUAUCAAGGCCAACUCACUGAAACUCAAGGAGAUGGCUGGAAACAGCAUCAGUGAAGGUGGAUCUUCUUCCAAGAAUUUCUUAAGCUUUAUUGAACAGAUAAAGCAGUAGCAUGUUUCUACAUGUAUAUAUAAUUAUGACUUCAAUGCUCCACUUAGCAAGAGAAACAAAAAUUUAAUU